Molecule: ribosomal RNA, 1125 nt
Filed under: Escherichia coli
Lineage: Bacteria; Pseudomonadati; Pseudomonadota; Gammaproteobacteria; Enterobacterales; Enterobacteriaceae
Description: bacterial SSU rRNA
Rfam family: Bacterial small subunit ribosomal RNA
Source: RNAcentral
GGGAAUUGGCGGCAGCUAACACAUGCAGUCGAACGGUAACAGGCAAGCAGCUUGCUGCUUUGCUGACGAGUGGCGGACGGGUGAGUAAUGUCUGGGAAACUGCCUGAUGGAGGGGGAUAACUACUGGAAACGGUAGCUAAUACCGCAUAACGUCGCAAGACCAAAGAGGGGGACCUUCGGGCCUCUUGCCAUCGGAUGUGCCCAGAUGGGAUUAGCUAGUAGGUGGGGUAACGGCUCACCUAGGCGACGAUCCCUAGCUGGUCUGAGAGGAUGACCAGCCCACUGGAACUGAGACACGGUCCAGACUCCUACGGGAGGCAGCAGUGGGGAAUAUUGCACAAUGGGCGCAAGCCUGAUGCAGCCAUGCCGCGUGUAUGAAGAAGGCCUUCGGGUUGUAAAGUACUUUCAGCGGGGAGGAAGGGAGUAAAGUUAAUACCUUUGCUCAUUGACGUUACCCGCAGAAGAAGCACCGGCUAACUCCGCCAGCGCCGCGGUAAUACGGAGGGUGCAAGCGUUAAUCGGAAUUACUGGGCGUAAAGCGCACGCAGGCGGUUUGUUAAGUCAGAUGUGAAAUCCCCGGGCUCAACCUGGGAACUGCAUCUGAUACUGGCAAGCUUGAAACGUAGAGGGGGGUAGAAUUCCAGGUGUAGCGGUGAAAUGCGUAGAGAUCUGGAGGAAUACCGGUGGCGAAGGCGGCCCCCUGGACGAAGACUGACGCUCAGUGCGAAAGCGUGGGGAGCAAACAGGAUUAGAUACCCUGGUAGUCCACGCCGUAAACGAUGUCGACUUGGAGGUUGUGCCCUUGAGGCGUGGCUUCCGGAGCUAACGCGUUAAGUCGACCGCCUGGGGAGUACGGCCGCAAGGUUAAAACUCAAUGAAUUUGACGGGGGCCCGCACAAGCGGUGGAGCAUGUGGUUUAAUUCGAUGCAACGCGAGACCUUACCUGUCUGACAUCCACGAAGUUUUCAGAGAUGAGAUGUGCUUCGGACGUGAGACAGUGCUGCAUGCUGUCGUCAGCUCGUGUGUGAAAUGUUGGUAGUUCCCGCACGACGCACUUAUCAUUGUGCACCGGUCCGCCGGACUCAAGGAACUUGCCAUGAUAACUGGAGAAAAGUGGGGCUAAAC